RNAcentral lists this ribosomal RNA (220 nucleotides) under uncultured bacterium. RNAcentral describes it as "partial 16S ribosomal RNA". It matches the Rfam family "Bacterial small subunit ribosomal RNA", at positions 111 to 334 of the family's 1533-position model. The record is from RNAcentral.
UAAUGUAUGGGGAUCUGCCCGAUAGAGGGGGGAGAAUACUGGAAACGGUGGCUAAUACCGCAUAAUGUCUACGGACCAAAGCAGGGGCUCUUCGGACCUUGCACUAUCGGAUGAACCCAUAUGGGAUUAGCUAGUAGGUGGGGUAAAGGCUCACCUAGGCGACGAUCUCUAGCUGGUCUGAGAGGAUGAUCAGCCACACUGGGACUGAGACACGGCCCAG